RNAcentral lists this ribosomal RNA (253 nucleotides) under uncultured bacterium. Its description in RNAcentral is "partial 16S ribosomal RNA". It matches the Rfam family "Bacterial small subunit ribosomal RNA", at positions 524 to 776 of the family's 1533-position model. The record is from RNAcentral.
GACGAACCGUGCGAACGUUGUUCGGAAUCACUGGGCUUAAAGGGCGCGUAGGCGGGCUAUCAAGUCCGGGGUGAAAUCCUCCCGCUCAACGGGAGAACUGCCUCGGAUACUGAUGGCCUCGAGGGGGAUAGGGGCACACGGAACUGUGGGUGGAGCGGUGAAAUGCGUUGAUAUCCAUAGGAACUCCGGUGGCGAAAGCGGUGUGCUGGAUCCCUUCUGACGCUGAGGCGCGAAAGCCAGGGGAGCGAACGGG